GCCACCGUAGCUCAGUUGGUAGAGCAAUGCUUUCGUAAAGCAUAGGUCGUCGGUUCGAGUCCGACUGGUGGCU
RNAcentral lists this transfer RNA (73 nucleotides) under Planctomycetota bacterium. Its description in RNAcentral is "Planctomycetes bacterium tRNA-Thr". It matches the Rfam family "tRNA". Rfam says of the family: Transfer RNA (tRNA) molecules are approximately 80 nucleotides in length. Their secondary structure includes four short double-helical elements and three loops (D, anti-codon, and T loops). Further hydrogen bonds mediate the characteristic L-shaped molecular structure. tRNAs have two regions of fundamental functional importance: the anti-codon, which is responsible for specific mRNA codon recognition, and the 3' end, to which the tRNAs corresponding amino acid is attached (by aminoacyl-tRNA synthetases). tRNAs cope with the degeneracy of the genetic code in two manners: having more than one tRNA (with a specific anti-codon) for a particular amino acid; and 'wobble' base-pairing, i.e. permitting non-standard base-pairing at the 3rd anti-codon position. The record is from RNAcentral. Lineage: Bacteria; Pseudomonadati; Planctomycetota.